GACGAACGCUGGCGGCGUGCUUAACACAUGCAAGUCGAACGGUGAAAGCGGAGCUUGCUCCGCUGGAUCAGUGGCGAACGGGUGAGUAACACGUGGGCAACCUGCCCCUCACUUCGGGAUAACUCCGGGAAACCGGGGCUAAUACCGGAUAUGACCUCCUUGGGCAUCCUUGGAGGUGGAAAGUUUUUCGGUGAGGGAUGGGCCCGCGGCCUAUCAGCUUGUUGGUGAGGUAGUGGCUCACCAAGGCGACGACGGGUAGCCGGCCUGAGAGGGCGGCAGGCCACACUGGGACUGAGACACGGACCGGACUCCGACGGGAGGCAGCAGUGGGGAAUAUUGCGCAGUGGGCGAAAGCCUGACGCAGCAACGCCGCGUGGGGGAAGACGGCCUUCGGGUUGUAAACCGCUUUCAGCAGGGAAGAAGCCGCAAGGUGACGGUACCUGCAGAAGAAGCACCGGCUAACUACGUGCCAGCAGCCGCAGUAA
Molecule: ribosomal RNA, 485 nt
Filed under: uncultured bacterium
Lineage: Bacteria
Description: partial 16S ribosomal RNA
Rfam family: Bacterial small subunit ribosomal RNA
Source: RNAcentral